RNAcentral lists this ribosomal RNA (253 nucleotides) under uncultured bacterium. Its description in RNAcentral is "partial 16S ribosomal RNA". It matches the Rfam family "Bacterial small subunit ribosomal RNA", at positions 524 to 776 of the family's 1533-position model. The record is from RNAcentral.
GACGGAGGAUGCAAGCGUUAUCCGGAAUUAUUGGGCGUAAAGCGUCCGUAGGUGGUUUAGUAAGUCUGCUGUUAAAGCGCGGGGCUUAACUCCGUAUCGGCAGUGGAAACUACUAGACUAGAGUGUGGUAGGGGUAGAGGGAAUUCCCAGUGUAGCGGUGAAAUGCGUAGAUAUUGGGAAGAACACCGGUGGCGAAGGCGGCUACCUGGACCGGUACUGACGCUGAUGCGCGAAAGCUCGGGUAGCAAACAGG